Molecule: ribosomal RNA, 3072 nt
Filed under: Burkholderia mallei 2002721280
Lineage: Bacteria; Pseudomonadati; Pseudomonadota; Betaproteobacteria; Burkholderiales; Burkholderiaceae
Description: 23S ribosomal RNA
Source: RNAcentral
CCGGCGCGGCGACGUGGCCGCGGCAAUGGGCAAGGGCGAUGGCGAACGGCAUCCGCCGUGUCGUCGCGCUCAUGCCGGCGUCGGUGCUGCUAUCGCUGUCGCGAUCGUUGGCGGCCGUCGUCGGUAUUGGUAUCGCCGCCGCUGUAGCACCCGACGGGUGGAUGCGCUAUUCGUCGGCCGAACCGCCGGCGCGCCCGCUGCGCGCGUGCGCCGCGGCGUCGCGCGCGGGGCGGCGCACGGCCCGCACCUUCGCGCUGUUUCCGCCGCCGCAGAAGAACCGGUCGCCGCCGUCGGAUUCGAGCCCCGAUACGCCGACGCCCGCCGGCAUCCCGAGCGCCUCCAGCACGUCGCCCGUUUGCGGAUCGACGCGGCGCAGCUCGCUCUCGUCGUUUUCCCACGUGCCGUGCCAGAGCUCGCCGUCGACCCACGUGACGCCGGUGACGAAGCGGUUCGAUUCGAUCGUCCGAAGAAUCGCGCCCGUUUCGGGAUCGAUCUGAUGAAUUCGGCGAUCGCGAUACUGGCCGACCCAGAGCGAGCCUUCGGCCCACGCGAGCCCCGAAUUGCCGCGGCCGGGCGCGAGGAUCGUCGCGAGCACGCGGCCCGUGUCCGGGUCGAUCUUGUGGAUGCGGUCUUCCGCGAUCUGGUACAGAUGCCGGCCGUCGAACGCGGUGCCCGCGUGCGCGGCGACGUCGAUCGAGCGCUGCGUCGCGCCGCUCGCCGGGUCGAGCGCGUUCAGCUUGUCGCCGCAGGCGAACCAGACACGCCGGCCGUCGAACGUCACGCCGUGCACGCUGUCGACGCCCGGAAACGGGCCGUAUUCCUGGAUGAUUUCGGCGCUCGAUCGCUUCAUGUCCGUCUCCCGGUUGCUCGAUGGGGUCAUCCUAAUCGCCCGGCAGCGGCGCCGGGAGUAACAAGGUCGUCGCGAAUCCGGGCACGGGCGGGGUCGUCCAGCGGCGCGCGCGGCCGCAGCCGAACGAUUGCGCGUUGCCGGCCGCCGCGAGCGCGUCGAGCGAGCGCUGCACGGUGUGCUGGCUCGCGCCGAGCGCGAGUGCAAGCGCGGAACUCGACCACGAUUCGCCGUCGGCGAGGAGGGCGAGCACGGCCGCGUGCGCGUCCUCGUGCGGGCGCGCGAGCACCGCCACUUCGGGCGCCCGGCGCGGGAUCAGCACGAACCCCCGCUGCGUCGCGCGAAUGUCGGCCAGUUCGCCUAGCAGGGCGCGCAGCCGCCCGAUCUCGACGCGCAGCCGCGCGCGGUGCGAUUCGUCGGCAUGCUUCACGCGAAACGCGCGGGCGACGAGCGCCUCGCGCGGCGCGUCGCCGGGCCAGGCCUCGCCGAGCGCGCGUGCAAGCGCGAACAGCACGGGGCGGCGCGCGAGCGGAACCGUCGCGCGCGCGUCGUGCACGACGCGGCGGCACGCGUCGACGACGAGCGACGCCGAUGCGCGCCAGGCCUCGACCUCGUCGAGCUGCAGCGCGCGCGUUUGGCCGCGUGCGACGAGGCGCGCGGCGGGCGUGUCGAGAACGCGAAACGCGCGCUCGACUUCGGCCGCGAGCGCGGGAAUGCCCGCGUCGCGCGCCGCGCGCUCGGCGCGGGCGAGGGCCGCGCGUGCGGGCUUCGUCUCGAUGCGCCGCAGCGCGAUACCCGCGACGAUCAGCUCGUGCGCGGCCCGCAACGCGGGCGGGUGCGUGGCGGCAUCGAGCGCGGCGAGCGUGCGCGCGGCUUCGUCGACGCGGCCGAUCAGCAGCAGGCGGCGGAUCGCGAGGUAUCGCGCAUGCGCGGCAUUGACGCUGUCGCCGUGCGCCUCGAGCGUCGCGCGCGCCGCGUCGAGCGCCUUCUCGGGCCAGCCGAGCUCGCGCGACGCGAGCGCGAUCUCGGCUUCGGCGACGACGCAUCGCGCGCGGGCGAGCGCUUCGUUCGGGCUGAACGCGCGAGCCGCGCGGCGCACGAGCGCCUUUGCCCGGACGAACUCGCCGAGCUGCGCCAUCGCGAUGCCGCGAGCGCGAGCGCGGGCGCAUCGUCGCGCAGCGCGACGCGGUUCAGCGCGCCGAGCGGAUCACCCGCGGCGAGCGCGCGCGCCGCGGCCGUGAUCAGCGAGUCCAUCGGAAUCCCGCCACACUUGUCACUCCCACCGUUCGAAGCCCGCGACUAAUCUACCACCACGCGAUCACACUCCCCGCGCGCCGGAUCGCGGAACGAUCGAGCGGCGCGCGACGCAGGCUAAAAGGAGGGACGACCGAUGGCGACACACCCGACCGGUACGCGCGACGAAUGGCUCGCCGCGCGGCUCGAACUGCUCGAUGCGGAAAAGGCGCACACCCGGCGCGGCGACGCGCUCGCGCGGCAGCGCGCGGCGUUGCCGUGGGUGCGCGUCGACAAGGCGUACCGAUUCGAUACCGACGGAGGCGGCGCGUCGCUCGCGGACCUGUUCCGCGGCCGCUCGCAACUGCUCGUCUACCACUUCAUGUUCGGACCCGACUACGCGGCGGGAUGCCCGUCGUGCUCGGCGCUCGCGGACGGCUUCGACGGCUUCGUCGUCCAUCUCGCGCAUCACGACGUCACGCUCGCGGCGGUGUCGCGCGCGCCGCUCGCGAAGCUGCGGGCGUAUCGCACGCGCACGGGAUGGAGGUUCGCGUGGGCGUCGUCGCUCGACGGCGAUUUCAACUACGACUUCAACGUGUCGUUUACCGAAGCGCAGCAGCGUGACGGCAGCGUCGAAUACAACUACCGGCGCGGCGGCCGCGCGAUGGAUGUGACGCCUGCGCCUGCGCCCGUCGCCGGGUUCGCGGCCGAUUGCGGGACCGAUGCGCGCACGUACGCGCGCGAUCGGCCGGGAAUGAGCGCGUUCGUGCUCGAGGACGGCGCCGUCUAUCACACGUAUUCGACGUACGCGCGCGGGCUGGACGGCCUCUGGGGCAUGUACCAGUGGCUCGAUCGCGCGCCGAAAGGGCGCAACGAAACGGGCGUCUGGUGGCGUCGCCAUGACGAGUACGACGGGCGCUGAAGGCGUGAGCCGGCAUGGCCGGCGCGUUGCCGGGCGCGGCGUGCGGUGUCGCGCGGCGGGAGCGCGCGGC